RNAcentral lists this ribosomal RNA (24 nucleotides) under Mucor moelleri. Its description in RNAcentral is "partial 28S ribosomal RNA". The record is from RNAcentral. Lineage: Eukaryota; Fungi; Mucoromycota; Mucoromycetes; Mucorales; Mucoraceae.
AUUUGAUCUGAAAUCAGGCGGGAU